AUCGCUUCUCUGCCUUUUGGCCACGAUCAAGUGUAGUAUCUGUUCUUAUCAGCUUAAUAUCUGAUACGUCCCCUACCCGGGGACCAUAUAUUAAAUUGAUUUUUAGAAAUGGGUGAUGGAAUAGGGGCUUGCUCCGUCCACUCCACCCGGUAUUGCAGUUCUUCUGGGAAGGGUGCCCCCAU
Molecule: small nuclear RNA, 182 nt
Organism: Paramisgurnus dabryanus
Lineage: Eukaryota; Metazoa; Chordata; Actinopteri; Cypriniformes; Cobitidae
Product: U2 spliceosomal RNA
Source: RefSeq, a predicted model, not a curated record